AUGGAGCCGGCGACGAUGGCGUGGACGGCGGGGCUGGUGGGCGCCGGCCUGGUCUACUGGUUUGUGUGGGUGAUGGGCGCGGCGGAGGUGAAGGGGAAGCGGGCGGUGGAUCUCAAGAUGGGAUCCAUCACGCGGGACAAGGUGCAGGACAAGUACACGCAGUACUGGUCCUUCUUCCGCCGCCCCAAGGAGACGGCCACCACGCAGGCCUCCGCCGACAAGGUGCCCGCCUUCGUCGACACCUUCUACAACCUCGUCACCGACAUCUACGAGUGGGGCUGGGGCCAGUCCUUCCACUUCUCGCCCUCGCUCCCCGGCCGCUCCCACCGCGACGCCACCCGCGUCCACGAGGAGCGCGUCGCCGACCUGCUGGGGGCCAAGCCGGGCCACCGCGUGCUCGACGUCGGCUGCGGCGUCGGCGGGCCCAUGCGCGCCAUCGCGGCGCACUCCGGCGCCCGCGUCGUCGGCAUCACCAUCAACGAGUACCAGGUGAACCGCGCCCGCGCGCACAACCGCAAGGCCGGGCUGGACGCGCAGUGCGAGGUGGUGUGCGGCAACUUCAUGGCCAUGCCCUUCGACGACGCCUCCUUCGACGGCGCCUACUCCAUCGAGGCCACCUGCCACGCGCCCAGGCUGCAGGACGUGUACGGCGAGGUGUACCGCGUGCUCAUGCCGGGGCGGCUCUACGUGUCCUACGAGUGGGUGACCACGCCGCUGUACCGCGCCGACGACCCGGCGCACGUGGAGGCCAUCCACGGCAUCGAGCGCGGCGACGCGCUCCCGGGGCUGCGCCGGCAGGACGAGAUCGCGUCGAUCGCGCAGGAGGUCGGGUUCGAGGUGGUGCAGGAGCUGGACCUGGCCCUCCCACCCUCGCUGCCAUGGUGGACGCGGCUCAAGAUGGGGCGCCUCGCCUACUGGCGCAACUCGCUGGUGGUGCGCGUGCUCACCCUGCUCCGGAUCGCGCCCAAGGGCGUGGUGGAGGUGCACGAGAUGCUGUACGAGACCGCGCAGCACCUCACCCUCGGCGGCGAGACCGGCAUCUUCUCGCCGAUGCACAUGGUGGUCCUCCGCAAGCCCGUCGCCGACGCCGCCGAAUAG
Molecule: ribosomal RNA, 1098 nt
Filed under: Triticum aestivum (bread wheat)
Lineage: Eukaryota; Viridiplantae; Streptophyta; Magnoliopsida; Poales; Poaceae
Description: partial small subunit ribosomal RNA
Source: RNAcentral